This 253-nucleotide ribosomal RNA is filed under the name uncultured bacterium. RNAcentral's name for it is "partial 16S ribosomal RNA". It matches the Rfam family "Bacterial small subunit ribosomal RNA", at positions 524 to 776 of the family's 1533-position model. The record is from RNAcentral.
UACGAAGGGGGCGAGCGUUGUUCGGAAUUACUGGGCGUAAAGGGCGCGCAGGCGGCUCUGAAAGGCAGAUGUGAAAGCCCCGGGCUUAACCUGGGAAUUGCAUUUGAUACUCUGGAGCUUGAGUACGGUAGAGGGGGAUGGAAUUCCGCGUGUAGCAGUGAAAUGCGUAGAUAUGCGGAGGAACACCGAUGGCGAAGGCAAUCCCCUGGACCUGUACUGACGCUCAUGCACGAAAGCGUGGGGAGCAAACAGG